UUUAUUGAAUUUCCACUUUUAAUAUAGAUCUAAGUGAGGUUUAUAAUUUUAUAAUUAGUUAAUUACUUUAAUUUCACAUUUUUAGAUAAUUUAGGAUUUUAUUUAUUAGGAUUUUUAAUUAAAAAAAAGAAAGCAAACAAAGGAAUUGAAAAUAAAGAAAAGGAAUAUAAGUAUAUUAACUUUCUGAAAUUGGACCCAUUCUCCCAACUUAGCCCAAAUAAUACCCAAUUCGGUCCGGCCCAAUAAUCAGACCCGCCUGGCCCAAUAACCCACCCCCUUCCAUUAAACCUAGGCCUAACACUAUCAGAUAGAGAGGAUAAUAGAGGAGGACCCUUAACAAAAAUACAGAGAAAACGGCUCCCUUGGACCUUCUUCAUGAUCCCUCAUUUUCAACGACAACCAGAUCCCUGGCCAUUGAAGACCAGCUCCCAUUCACCUCCGAUCACACACGAAAACAUACCCCUUAAUUCCCUUCCCGUUAUCUGAAGAAGCAGUACCGCUGCUUAUAUUCUUCUUCUCGGCAUAAACCCACACACUCACAAAAAUGUAUAAGAAUAAGCGGAAAAGAACAAGAAAAUAGGGGAAAAGAAACAAACACACUCACUUUCACUUGUAUGAAGCUCACAAUCGAAGAUAGUAAAAGUUGCUUCUUCGUUCACCACUGCUGUGAGCCUCCAUUUUGUGGGUUUCCAAGUGAUGUUUUGGAUCUAUAAUGUUGCUAUAUCUUCUGAUUUUACCGCUGACUUUGUUGUUUAGUAGCUGAGCUCCAUCUCCUAAUUUCUAGACCUUUAUCCGGUCACUUCUUUUGUUUCUUUGCUAGAGGUAUGUAAAUUCUAAGCUUAUUCUCUUAUGUUGAAUCAUGGAUGAAAUGUUUGUGAAAUAUAUGCUGGUUCUCACACUGACUAAGUGUUGUCUUCCAAAGUUUAAGUUCUGUUGCCCUUCCUUUGUUCUCGAUCGAUGUUUGAUAUUCAACACUUUUUUCUCCACUGCGAUUUUGAGUUUGUUGAUAGGCUGCCGAUUGAUUUUGAAUUUUUUUUAAAAAAAAUCUAUUUGUUUUCUUGUGAAAUCUAUGAGGGCUGUUUGAAUUUCAUUCAAAUCUGCUUGCAUUGGAGUUUUUGCUUGGCAGAUUUGGAACAUUAUUGAUGACAUGUGAGUUCAACUGCUCCAUAUUUUAUUGUAUGGCAGAUUGUGAAAUUCGUUUUGUAAUAACACUAGGAAAAUAUUUAUCAUGCAAGCAUAAGCAUGUGGAAAUGUUUACGCAUGAACUUUUGUUUUCUAAUUUUCAGUAGUUUUUUUUGGUUAGAUGCAACGUUUUGAUCCACUAAUGUGAUUUUCAUACAGCAACGUUUGGG
RNAcentral lists this long non-coding RNA (1352 nucleotides) under Nicotiana benthamiana. RNAcentral describes it as "long non-coding RNA (NBEN_LNC042679)". The record is from RNAcentral. Lineage: Eukaryota; Viridiplantae; Streptophyta; Magnoliopsida; Solanales; Solanaceae.